Molecule: ribosomal RNA, 428 nt
Filed under: uncultured bacterium
Lineage: Bacteria
Description: bacterial SSU rRNA
Rfam family: Bacterial small subunit ribosomal RNA
Source: RNAcentral
GUGAGGAAUAUUGGGCAAUGGGCAUAAGCCUGACCCAGCGACGCCGCGUGAGGGAAGAAGGUCUUCGGAUUGUAAACCUUAGUUAUCAGGGAAGAAGAAAGUGACGGUACCUGAAGAGAAAGCCACGGCUAACUACGUGCCAGCAGCCGCGGUAAUACGUAGGUGGCAAGCGUUAUCCGGAUUUAUUGGGUGUAAAGGGUGUGUAGGCGGGACGGCAAGUCAGAUGUGAAAACUAUGGGCUCAACCCAUAGCCUGCAUUUGAAACUGCUGUUCUUGAGAGUCGGAGAGGUAGAUGGAAUUCCUGGUGUAGCGGUGAAAUGCGUAGAUAUCAGGAGGAACACCGGUGGCGAAGGCGGUCUACUGGACGACAACUGACGCUGAGACACGAAAGCGUGGGGAGCAAACAGGAUUAGAUACCCGAGUAGUCC